CCAGCCAUCCCGCGUGUGCGAUGAAGGCCUUCGGGUUGUAAAGCACUUUUGGCAGGAAAGAAAUCGCAUGGGUUAAUAACCUGUGUGGAUGACGGUACCUGCAGAAUAAGCACCGGCUAACUACGUGCCAGCAGCCGCGGUAAUACGUAGGGUGCAAGCGUUAAUCGGAAUUACUGGGCGUAAAGCGUGCGCAGGCGGUUCGGAAAGAAAGGUGUGAAAUCCCAGGGCUUAACCUUGGAACUGCAUUUUUAACUACCGGGCUAGAGUAUGUCAGAGGGGGGUGGAAUUCCGCGUGUAGCAGUGAAAUGCGUAGAUAUGCGGAGGAACACCGAUGGCGAAGGCAGCCCCCUGGGAUAAUACUGACGCUCAUGCACGAAAGCGUGGGGAGCAAACAGGAUUAGAUACCCUGGUAGUCCACGCCCUAAACGAUGUCAACUAGCUGUUGGGGCCUUCGGGCCUUAGUAGCGCAGCUAACGCGUGAAGUUGACCGCCUGGGGAGUACGGUCGCAAGAUU
Molecule: ribosomal RNA, 514 nt
Filed under: uncultured beta proteobacterium
Lineage: Bacteria; Pseudomonadati; Pseudomonadota; Betaproteobacteria
Description: bacterial SSU rRNA
Rfam family: Bacterial small subunit ribosomal RNA
Source: RNAcentral